UACGAAGGGUGCAAACGUUGCUCGGAAUCAUUGGGCGUAAAGCGCACGUAGGCGGCUUUCUAAGUCAGGGGUGAAAUCCUGGAGCUCAACUCCAGAACUGCCUUUGAUACUGGAGAGCUUGAGUCCGGAAGAGGUGAGUGGAACUCCGAGUGUAGAGGUGAAAUUCGUAGAUAUUCGGAAGAACACCAGUGGCGAAGGCGGCUCACUGGUCCGGUACUGACGCUGAGGUGCGAAAGCGUGGGGAGCAAACAGG
RNAcentral lists this ribosomal RNA (253 nucleotides) under uncultured bacterium. Its description in RNAcentral is "partial 16S ribosomal RNA". It matches the Rfam family "Bacterial small subunit ribosomal RNA", at positions 524 to 776 of the family's 1533-position model. The record is from RNAcentral.